UACGUAGGUGGCGAGCGUUAUCCGGAUUUAUUGGGUUUAAAGGGAGCGUAGGCGGCUGAUUAAGUCAGCGGUGAAAGGUAGCAGCUUAACUGUUUUACAUGCCGUUGAUACUGGUUAGCUUGAGUUGACAGAAGGCAGAUAGAAUUCCUGGUGUAGCGGUGAAAUGCUUAGAUACCAGGAGGAAUACCGAUUGCGAAGGCAGUCUGCUGCAGUCACACUGACGCUGAGGCUCGAAGGUGCGGGGAUCAAACAGGAUUAGAUACCCUGGUAGUCCGCACAGUAAACGAUGAUUACUAGAUGUUGGCAAUGCCAGUGUCCAAGGGAAACCGAUAAGUAAUCCACCUGGGGAGUACGCCGGCAACGGUGAA
This 368-nucleotide ribosomal RNA is filed under the name uncultured bacterium. Its description in RNAcentral is "bacterial SSU rRNA". It matches the Rfam family "Bacterial small subunit ribosomal RNA", at positions 524 to 898 of the family's 1533-position model. The record is from RNAcentral.